ACUGAGAUACGGCCCAGACUCCUACGGGAGGCAGCAGUGGGGAAUAUUGCACAAUGGGCGCAAGCCUGAUGCAGCGACGCCGCGUGAGGGAUGACGGCCUUCGGGUUGUAAACCUCUUUCAAUAGGGACGAAGCGCAAGUGACGGUACCUAUAGAAGAAGGACCGGCCAACUACGUGCCAGCAGCCGCGGUAAUACGUAGGGUCCGAGCGUUGUCCGGAAUUACUGGGCGUAAAGAGCUCGUAGGUGGUUUGUCGCGUUGUUCGUGAAAACUCACAGCUUAACUGUGGGCGUGCGGGCGAUACGGGCAGACUAGAGUACUGCAGGGGAGACUGGAAUUCCUGGUGUAGCGGUGGAAUGCGCAGAUAUCAGGAGGAACACCGGUGGCGAAGGCGGGUCUCUGGGCAGUAACUGACGCUGAGGAGCGAAAGCGUGGGGAGCGAACAGGAUUAGAUACCCUGGUAGUCCACGCCGUAAACGGUGGGUACUAGGUGUGGGUUUCCUUCCUUGGGAUCCGUGCCGUAGCUAACGCAUUAAGUACCCCGCCUGGGGAGUACGGCCGCAAGGCUAAAACUCAAAGAAAUUGACGGGGGCCCGCACAAGCGGCGGAGCAUGUGGAUUAAUUCGAUGCAACGCGAAGAACCUUACCUGGGUUUGACAUGCACAGGACGCCAGUAGAGAUAUUGGUUCCCUUGUGGCCUGUGUGCAGGUGGUGCAUGGCUGUCGUCAGCUCGUGUCGUGAGAUGUUGGGUUAAGUCCCGCAACGAGCGCAACCCUUAUCUUAUGUUGCCAGCGCGUAAUGGCGGGGACUCGUGAGAGACUGCCGGGGUCAACUCGGAGGAAGGUGGGGAUGACGUCAAGUCAUCAUGCCCCUUAUGUCCAGGGCUUCACACAUGCUACAAUGGCCGGUACAAAGGGCUGCGAUGCCGUGAGGUGGAGCGAAUCCUUUCAAAGCCGGUCUCAGUUCGGAUCGGGGUCUGCAACUCGACCCCGUGAAGUCGGAGUCGCUAGUAAUCGCAGAUCAGCAACGCUGCGGUGAAUACGUUCCCGGGCCUUGUACACACCGCCCGUCACGUCAUGAAAGUCGGUAACACCCG
This 1095-nucleotide ribosomal RNA is filed under the name Mycolicibacterium arcueilense. Its description in RNAcentral is "bacterial SSU rRNA". It matches the Rfam family "Bacterial small subunit ribosomal RNA", at positions 318 to 1423 of the family's 1533-position model. Lineage: Bacteria; Bacillati; Actinomycetota; Actinomycetes; Mycobacteriales; Mycobacteriaceae. The record is from RNAcentral.